UGAGUACGAGAUGCUACGGCAUCGAAGCAGUCUAUGCCAUACUUCCAAGAAAAGCUUGCACUGUCAUAAACAAAGAAUGCCUGUACCAUAACCGACACAGGUGGGUAGGUAGAGUAUACUAAGGGGCGCGAGAUAACUCUCUCUAAGGAACUCGGCAAAAUGACUCCGUAACUUCGGGAGAAGGAGUGCCUUAUUUCUAAGGUUGCAAUAACAAGAUCCAAGCAACUGUUUACCAAAAACACAGGUCUCCGCUAAGUCGUAAGACGAUGUAUGGGGGCUGACGCCUGCCCAGUGCCAGAAGGUUAAAGAAGUUGGUUAGCAUUAGCGAAGCUGAUAACUGAAGCCCUGGUGAACGGCGGCCGUAACAAUAACGGUCCUAAGGUAGCGAAAUUCCUUGUCGGGUAAGUUCCGACCCGCACGAAAGGCGUAAUGAUUUGGAUACUGUCUCGGAGAGGGGCUCGGUGAAAUAGACUUGUCUGUGAAGAUGCGGACUACCUGCACCUGGACAGAAAGACCCUAUGAAGCUUUACUGUAACUUGAGAUUGAAAUUGGACUUUAUUUGCGCAGUAUAGGUGGGAGGCGUUGAGAAUAAUCUUGCGGGAUUGUUGGAGCCAUCAGUGGGAUACCACUCUUGUAAUGUUAGAUUUCUAACUUUGUAUCAUUAUCUGGUCAAAGAACAGUUUCAGGCAGGCAGUUUGACUGGGGCGGUCGCCUCCCAAAGGGUAACGGAGGCGCACAAAGGUUUCCUCUGAACGGGUAGAAAUCGUAUCUAGAGUGUAAAGGCAUAAGGAAGCUUGACUGUGAGACCUACAAGUCGAGCAGGGACGAAAGUCGGUCUUAGUGAUCUGACGGUGCUGAGUGGAAAGGCCGUCACUCAACGGAUAAAAGUUACUCUAAGGAUAACAGGCUGAUCUCCCCCAAGAGUUCACAUCGACGGGGAGGUUUGGCACCUCGAUGUCGGCUCAUCGCAUCCUGGGGCGGUAGUCCGUCCCAAGGGUUGGGCUGUUCGCCCAUGAAAGCGGUACGCGAGCUGGGUUCAGAACGUCGUGAGACAGUUCGGUCCAUAUCCGGUGUAGGCGUUAGAAUAUUGAGAGGAGCCUUCUCUAGUACGAGAGGACCGAGAAGGACAUACCUCUGGUGUACCAGUUAUCGUGCCAACGGUAAACGCUGGGUAGCUAUGUAUGGAGUGGAUAACCGCUGAAAGCAUCUAAGUGGGAAGCCCACCUCAAGAUAAGUAUUC
RNAcentral lists this ribosomal RNA (1240 nucleotides) under metagenome. RNAcentral's name for it is "bacterial LSU rRNA". It matches the Rfam family "Bacterial large subunit ribosomal RNA", at positions 1564 to 2813 of the family's 2925-position model. The record is from RNAcentral.